UCCUGGUUAACCCAGGCAGUCUCAUUAGAGUUCCCACCAUUACGUGUUGGCAACUAAUGACAAGGGUUGCGCUCGUUGCGGGACUUAACCCAACACCUCACGGCACGAGCUGACGACAGCCAUGCAGCACCUGUGCAGAGGCCCCGAAGGGAGGCGCCAUUUCUGGCGCUGUCCUCUGCAUGUCAAGCCUAGGUAAGGUUCUUCGCGUUGCAUCGAAUUAAACCACAUGCUCCACUGCUUGUGCGGGUCCCCGUCAAUUCUUUUGAGUUUCAGCCUUGCGACUGUACUCCUCAGGCGGUAUACUUAACGCGUUCGCUACGGCACAGCCAGGGUUGAGUCCGGCUACACCUAGUAUACAUCGUUUACGGCAAGGACUAC
RNAcentral lists this unclassified non-coding RNA (378 nucleotides) under uncultured Parachlamydiaceae bacterium. RNAcentral describes it as "contains 16S-23S intergenic spacer region". Lineage: Bacteria; Pseudomonadati; Chlamydiota; Chlamydiia; Parachlamydiales; Parachlamydiaceae. The record is from RNAcentral.